Molecule: long non-coding RNA, 529 nt
Organism: Carcharodon carcharias (great white shark)
Lineage: Eukaryota; Metazoa; Chordata; Chondrichthyes; Lamniformes; Lamnidae
Exons: 3
Source: RefSeq, a predicted model, not a curated record
UGUGCGGGUGGGCACGCUGUAAAAGCCUCCCCGAGGCACAGAGGAACGCCUCGGGGAGCUGAAGCUUUUCGAAAAUAAAAACGAAAGGACAUGAAAGUGUUAAUGACGUCCUCCCAGGCGACCCUGUCACACCAGCAGGGACAUGCGACAAAUUGGUUUGAAAACAUUUUCUUUUGAAUCACUGAUUCCCGCCCGCGGAUGAGGCUUCGCAAGAAAAUCCAAAGGCCGUGAGAUUCAGAUGUGCAGCUAAAGGAUUGCGAUGGCCUUUCAAGAUAGACCCAACAGAUUUCAUGGCGCUAUUUCGAAGAAUGGUGGGGCAGUUCUCCUGGUAUCCUUGCCAAGGGUGAGUCUUGUGUUGGAAAAUGAUCACAUACCAGAGAGAGUCUUUGAUCAAGGGCGAAAGAGAUCUCAAAGCAGUCGGACUUGAAAGACAUCAAAGUGCAAACAGAGGCUACAGCUUGAAUGGACUACACAAUGAAAGGAGGCCUACAGAACAGUCUGGAGAUAGGACCACAAGCAGGUGUCCUCA